Molecule: ribosomal RNA, 610 nt
Filed under: uncultured bacterium
Lineage: Bacteria
Description: bacterial SSU rRNA
Rfam family: Bacterial small subunit ribosomal RNA
Source: RNAcentral
CAAGGUUGAAACUCAAAGGAAUUGACGGGGGCCCGCACAAGCGGUGGAGUAUGUGGUUUAAUUCGAAGCAACGCGAAGAACCUUACCAGGGCUUGACAUCCCGGUGACCGGUGUAGAGAUACACCUUCUUCUUCGGAAGCGCCGGUGACAGGUGGUGCAUGGUUGUCGUCAGCUCGUGUCGUGAGAUGUUGGGUUAAGUCCCGCAACGAGCGCAACCCUUAUUGUUAGUUGCUACGCAAGAGCACUCUAGCGAGACUGCCGUUGACAAAACGGAGGAAGGUGGGGACGACGUCAAAUCAUCAUGCCCCUUAUGUCCUGGGCCACACACGUACUACAAUGGUGGUUAACAGAGGGAAGCAAUACCGCGAGGUGGAGCAAAUCCCUAAAAGCCAUCCCAGUUCGGAUCGCAGGCUGCAACCCGCCUGCGUGAAGUUGGAAUCGCUAGUAAUCGCGGAUCAGCAUGCCGCGGUGAAUACGUUCCCGGGCCUUGUACACACCGCCCGUCACACCAUGAGAGUCGGGAACACCCGAAGUCCGUAGCCUAACAGCAAUGGGGGCGCGGCCGAAGGUGGGUUCGAUAAUUGGGGUGAAGUCGUAACAAGGUAACCGU